Molecule: ribosomal RNA, 1551 nt
Filed under: Lactococcus lactis
Lineage: Bacteria; Bacillati; Bacillota; Bacilli; Lactobacillales; Streptococcaceae
Description: bacterial SSU rRNA
Rfam family: Bacterial small subunit ribosomal RNA
Source: RNAcentral
AUUUGAGAGUUUGAUCCUGGCUCAGGACGAACGCUGGCGGCGUGCCUAAUACAUGCAAGUUGAGCGCUGAAGGUUGGUACUUGUACCGACUGGAUGAGCAGCGAACGGGUGAGUAACGCGUGGGGAAUCUGCCUUUGACGGGGGGACAACAUUUGGAAACGAAUGCUAAUACCCGCAUAAAAACUUUAAAACAACAAGUUUAAGUUUGAAGAUGCAAUUGCAUCACUCAAAGAUGAUCCCGCGUGUAUUAGCUAGUUGGUGAGGUAAAAGGCUCACCAAGGCGAUGAUACAUAGCCGACCUGAGAGGUGAUCGGCCACAUUGGGAUGACAGACACGGCCAAACUCCUACGGGAGGCAGCAGUAGGGAAUCUUCGGCAAUGGACGAAAGUCUGACCGAGCAACGCCGCGUGAGUGAAGAAGUUAUUUCGGAUCCGUAAAACUCUGUUGGUAGAGAAGAACGUUGGUGAGAGUGGAAAGCUCAUCAAGUGACGGUAACUACCCGAAAGGGGACGGCCUAACUACGUGCCAGCAGCCGCGAGUAAUACGUAGGUCCCGAGCGUUGUCUCGGAUUUAUUGGGCGUAAAGCGAGCGCAGGUGGUGUUAUUAAGUUGGUGUAAAAGGCAGUGGCUCAACCAUUGUAUGCAUUGGAACUGGUAGACUUGAGUGCAGGAGAGGAGAGUGGAAAUUCAUGUGUAGCGGGUGAAAUGCGUAGAUAUAUGGAGGAACACCGGUGGCGAAAGCGGCUCUCUGGCCUGUUAACUGACACUGAGGCUCGAAAGCGUGGGAGCAAACAGGAUUAGAUACCCUGGUAGUCCACGCGUAAACGAUGAGUGCUAGAUGUAGGGGAGCUAUAAGUUCUCUGUAUCGCAGCUAACGCAAAAAGCACUCGCCUGGGGAAGUACGACCGCAAGGUUGAAACUCAAAGGAAUUGACGGGGCCCGCACAAGCGGUGGAAGCCAUGUGGUUUAAUUCGAAGCAACGCGAAGAACCUUACCAGGUCUUGACAUACUCGUCUAUUCCUAGAGAUAGGAAGUUCCUUCGGGACAACGGGAUACAGGUGGUGCAUGGCUUGUCGUCAGCUCGUGUCGUGAGAUGUUGGGUUAAGUCCCGCAACGAGCGCAACCCUAAUUGUUAGUUGCCAUCAUUAAGUUGGGCACUCUAACGAGACUGCGGUGAUAAACCGGAGAAGGUGGGGAUGACGUCAAAUCAUCAUGCCCCUUAUAGACCUGGGCUACCACAAGUGCUACAAUGGUGGUAACAACGAGUUGCGAAGACGUGAAUGAUUAGCUAAUCUCUUAAAACCAUUCUCAGUUCGGAUUGUAGGCUGCAACUCGCCUACAUGAAGUCGGAAAUCGCUAGUAAUCGCGGAUCAGCACGCCGCCGGUGAUACGUCCCCGGGCCCUGUACACAACGCCCGUCACACCACGAGAGUUUGUAACACCGAAGUCCGGUGAGGUAAUCCUUUUGGAGCCACCGCCUAAGGUGGGACAGAUGAUUGGGUGAAUCCAUAACAAGGUAGCCGUAUCGGAAGGUGCGGCUGGAUCACCUCUU